GGCAGCGGCCGGGUCUAGCGGUGGCUGCGGAAGGAGGAGGUGGAGGAGGGCUGGCGAUGAGAACCAGCAGGAGGAAUCAAGGACAAGAAGGGACCCAGAGGGGCAGGUGGCUGAGAUGCUGGCGUCCAGGUGACCCGAGGAAUCCUCUGGAGAUAGAGGCCCGCGCAUGCGCGUGCUCGAGCGCUGAAGCCCAUGGCCCGCAGGGCGCUGGACGGGCGCCCCGGCCGGCGAGGCUGUCCCGUCCAGGCUCCAGGCCCCGGCUCUGGCCAGGCGCCGCCGCUCCCCAGUGCAGCUGAAAGUCGACGAAGAGGGCGGGGCGAGGGCGGCUUGUGGACUUCCACACUUUUCCUCUCUUCGGGCCAGUCCGGGGAGAGGGUGGCUAGCUGUGGCGGCGGCCAAUUACGUGGCGGACCUGCGGGGCUCAGCUGGCACGUCACUUCCGACUGGUGGAGUUUUAGCCUUUUAACAUUCAAGGAUUAGGCACAGUGAAAAACCCGAGGACCCUUACCUCAAGUGUCCUUUGCUCCCAGCUACUGAUACUGGAUUCCACUCAUGAUUCUCCCUUUGUUAGCGCAUUCAUGAUAUGGACGUCAGUGUCUGAGCUGGAGGAGGACAAAGGCAGAGGUCCUGUGAAUUCUAUGCUCUAGCUCGGAUUAAGGGAUUUGGAAUUGCACUUGUUCCAGAGAGCUCCCUCUUUGCCCACUAGCAGGGCAAUAGCUGGUGCUGAAAACAGUGGCUGCUUGGCAAGCCUGGAUCUCCAAGUGACUCCAAGUGACCCCCUCAGCAACUCCUGAUGAACAGGACUGAAACCAAUAAUAAGGCAAGUCGACCAAAGGUUCUGUGGUGUAGACAAGACAACAAAAGGACAGACUACCUGUGGAACCUAGCAUUGUUCUUCUGCAGCACUACGUAACAUUUGUGCUCCGUAAGAUCUUUGCAAACCACACACAAGAAUUGCUGGUCAUCCUGCCAAUAGAUGCUGCUCACAGAACCAAAUUUCCUGUGCUGGAUUGUCACUCAUGGGCUUGAGAGUAGGAGACUGGAGACCAAGGUGGCUAGAAUCCAGUUGGGCCUGACAUCUCCCUGUUGAAAGAGCUCCUUGUGGAAUGGACAGCACAUGGCUCCCGUGGUGGAUCUGAUAGUGGUACAGCACCAAGUGAUGCAGGCCUGCCUGGGCCACGGCCACAGAAGAUGCUCCCAGGGUCCCCCGUGUACUCCAGACACACUGCAGGCCACCUCUCCCAGCAGGUUCCUAGUCAUGGGCCCCAUCAUCAUGACUUCUGUCCAAAGUGUGCUCAGAAAUCUCUUCCUUAACACCUGUGACUUUCUGACAGGUGGAGGAUGUGGUCAGGAAUGGGAAAAGGAUUCAAGACAGGAAGAGGGAGGGGUUCAGGAUGAAGAGAGAUAAUCUGUGCCACAGAUGCUGGCCCUGCAGUUACCUCGCACCUAGUCCAUGCACACACAUUCUAAUCCCCUCCCAUUCCUCUACAUGCUGCGGCCAGAGAGGCCUUUCUCAAAGUGGAAGUCUCAUCCUCACUUCUCUGGUUACAGUGCUGGGCCAUGAAUGACUUACAAGGCUUAGCAGGAACUGUCUGCACACUCCCUGCUCCUGCCUGCUACCUUGUUUCCCUCCAGUCGGGAGAGCAAACAUUGAUUGAGCAUUAACAAUGUGCCAGGCUUGUCCUAAGUCCUUCAUAUGUAUUCACUCAAACAAUCCUCACAACAUUCCUGUCACACCUCCUGUUUCACAGUGAGGGUUCUAAAGCACGCAGUGGGUGAGGAACUUGUCCAGGGUCACACAACUAAGUGGGGGUGGAGAAACAUCAAAUCUAGGUGGUCCAGGUGGUGGCCAGAACCCAUCAGCACCUCACUACAGCUGCCUCCAGCUUCUCCCUCUAGGAAAUACUCUUCCCUGUCAACUCCUGUUGUCCUCUGGGCUCAGUUGACAUGUCAUCUCCUCAAGGAGGACAUCCUGAGAUGCUCCCCGACUAGGGUGGGCACCCACUUCCACACUCCAAAUGCAUAUCUAUUUGACGUGUGUAUUGCUGCAUCCCCACUGCAUGGCAGAUAGCAGGCCCCUAAUAAGUAUGAUUUGAGCAAAUAAAUAUAGUUAUUCAAAAAAUAGGGAGGACUUCUUGUUUCUAGUAAUGGUGGGCUAGGACAUUUGGACCAACCCUCCUGCAGAAAAUAGCCAUUUAUUUUGAUGCAAUAUACCUGGCUAUGACUAUAGAGAUUUCACAUAUUUGGAGGGCUAUUAUGUGAAGAUUUAUACUUAUUCUUGGUGACAUAGAGGUUAGAAAUUGGUCGUUUCCAUAGAGUAUGAGAGAGACAGAAUUGUGCUCAUCAUAAGGAUCUUUUUUAAAAAUUAGACUUAAUAAAAUGGGCUGCUUUGGUAGGUGGUGAGUUGUCUGUCACGAAAGAGAUUCAGCCACUUGCUCUGAGAAAGCUGGAGAAUAUCAACAUUGCAAGGGUCGGCCACCUCAUCUCUGAGGCCCCCUCCUCGCUUAGGUUGCCAUUGUACGUGGAACACUGGGCUGAGUGUCACAGAACUUGGGUUCCACAAGCUAUACGAUCAUGGCUGGUUAUUUUUGGAUCUAUUCCUAGUAUCUGUUAGUUAAGCUGACCCAUCAGUACUGACCCACUUCACAGAGUUACGAAGGGAUUAAAUUUGGUAUUACAUAUAAAUUUUUAUUUUGUUUGCUUUUUGUUGUUUUUUGUUUUGCUUUUUUCUUUGCAUUAUGAAAUCCCGUCAACUUUUUCCAUUCUUUUAUUUCUUAAAAAAUUGAUAUCAUCAUAACAAAAUAAUUUUUAAAAUAAAAAUAAAAAAACCCUGCAACCCCACUAUCUAAUACAAUAAUCAUACUUUUUUCUCUCUAUUCUCUUUUAUUGUGACCAAGGAUGACUUCGGGCAUUGAUGUGAGGAACUAUUUCGUUUAACACCCUGCUAUCUGAACAUGAUUCACACUCAGCCUUUCACCACCCCCCAAGUACUACACAUGAUAUGAUAAUAGUAUUGGUGGUGGUUUUAGAGAGUUGGAGAGAAAACUGAAGUUGGAUUUGGGUAAAAGAAAAAAGAGUGGGCAUUAUGUUUUCUCCAUUCUAAAGCCUAUAGAGCAAUGUUAAUUGUUCCCACCCCUCUGCUAUUCUGUCUCUUCAGGUACUGUGUGUAGAAAUGUGAUUGAGAUUCAAGUCAGGGCCUCUGCCCUUUUCCCUCCAGAAACAAAACCAAGAUAAUUUAUCCUGAACACACACGGUGAAAAAAGGAAGGAAGGGAGCGGGGAGAAAAAGUCCAGGUCUUACCUGGGAUUCUCUGUCUCCUGCAACAUGAAGGGUUUAGCCUGGGAGGAGGUGGUGAGAACUCUGGGAGAGAAAAAAGAAGGAAAGAAUAGUUUUACCCAUGCUGAAGUUAAACCUUUACCUAGAGAAGCAAAACAAACAAACAAACAAACACUGUUCCAUUUUGUGCCUCCCUUCCUAGAGUUUUGGCCAAAGGUUUAACUAAGUAAUUGGUUUUACCAGGGCACUCACUCCUCUUAUCCCGAGUCUGUUUGCCUCCCUCCCCAUCAUCCUCCUCACCUCUUUCAGGCAGGGUGGGGACAGCAGCAGGAGGAGAUUCUGGGAGCUUGGCAACUCCUGUAAGGACCGCAGGACAGCCCCUCUGUGGGGAUGCAUGGUGCUCCAUCUGCCGUCCUUCUGAGAAGAAGAAUGUACUGCCUUCACUUUACUGUGUUAAGAGUCCAUCCAGACGGUUCUAUCCAAAGAAUAGUUUCUUUUUUCCCCAACAGGCAAUCAGGAAAUGAUUCCUUUCCCGACUACUUUUGUCUAGUGCCUGGGAAUCUUGAGUCAAUCCCUCAGUAAGUCAGUGACUAAGGAAAUCUCCCCUCUCUGAGCCUCCCAGUUCAUGUUGCUUAGGGAACCUGAUAUUUUCAUGAAAUCUGCCUACACAUGGGCAGCCCAACAGCAGAGCUAAUGGUGGUGACCAAAGUGAACAAAGAAGUACAGUUGUGCCAGCUUCCUAGUUGCCCAUGUGGACAAGUCAGCAGGAUCAGGACACGAGGAAGAGUAAAUGUGAGACAGUCAUGUGACUUCUGCGAUAAUAUUCUAGAUUUUUAAACCCUGAAAUUUUGCUAAAAUUUUGGUGAAACCCUGAACUUUCUUCAUUGCAUAUACUGGCCCUAUCUGUACCAUCAUACAGCUAUCUCACAUUAAAGCUAUUUUUCUUCAGCACUGAUGAGUAAGGUUGGUAUGUUUGAGUUCCUCAGAUCAACAAAAACCCAUUUUCCUGUAAGUCUUAUGUUUAGUAUUUAAGGAACUAAAACUUAAAUACAUUGUGUGAAAUGCUUGACACUUCACUGAUAAUGAUUUAUUGCUUGGAUUAAUAAAUUUUCCAAAAGUUGUCUUAUUAUGUAGAAUAUGGUUUGCAACCAGCAGAACCAUUAAUCUAUACUGUGAUAAAAUGCGCUAUGUAUAAUUGUUUAAAAGCUUCUACUUAAUGAUGUAACAUGCUGUAUUUAAUUACACAUUUGGCUAAACUGUAUACUAACAUCUGAUGGCAUUUUUCCAGUGUGUUGCUUUUUUCAAAUACUUUAUUGUAGAAAGCUGUUCU
Molecule: long non-coding RNA, 4606 nt
Organism: Macaca mulatta (Rhesus monkey)
Lineage: Eukaryota; Metazoa; Chordata; Mammalia; Primates; Cercopithecidae
Source: Ensembl